UACGGAGGAUCCAAGCGUUGUCCGGAUUUACUGGGUUUAAAGGGUGCGUAGGUGGACUUUUAAGUCAGUGGUGAAAGCCUGUAGCUUAACUAUAGAAUUGCCAUUGAAACUGAAAGUCUUGAGUACAGUUGAGGUGAGCGGAAUGUAUCAUGUAGCGGUGAAAUGCUUAGAUAUGAUACAGAACACCGAUUGCGAAGGCAGCUCAC
This 206-nucleotide ribosomal RNA is filed under the name uncultured bacterium. Its description in RNAcentral is "partial 16S ribosomal RNA". It matches the Rfam family "Bacterial small subunit ribosomal RNA", at positions 524 to 729 of the family's 1533-position model. The record is from RNAcentral.